Molecule: ribosomal RNA, 300 nt
Filed under: uncultured Carnobacterium sp.
Lineage: Bacteria; Bacillati; Bacillota; Bacilli; Lactobacillales; Carnobacteriaceae
Description: bacterial SSU rRNA
Rfam family: Bacterial small subunit ribosomal RNA
Source: RNAcentral
GGCUAGUUACGGGGCAGGAGGCGAGGUUAUGGGGAUGUGGCAGGGGUUGUCCGGAAUUAUGGGGCGUAUGGCGCGCACAGGGGGCUUCGUAAGUACAGCUGAAGAGGGCGGGGCUUAACCCCAGGAGGGGAUGGAAACUGAGAGGCUGGAGUAUCGGAGAGGAAAGUGGAAUUCCUAGUGUAGCGGUGAAAUGCGUAGAGAUUAGGAAGAACACCGGUGGCGAAGGGGACUUUCAGGACGACAACUGACGCUGAGGCGCGAAAGCGUGGGGAGCAAACAGGAUUAGAUACCCUGGUAGUC